GGGGGACACGGCCCUUCCCUGAGCUGUCCCGACCUCUUUACACUUCGUUUGCAACAGGUCAAUAGCAGGAACUAGAGUACAGUUGGGGAAUGUAUAUAUAUAUACUGGACAAGCUGGAAGUGCCUCAGCACAUCACACAGCUCUCCAAGCAGAAUACUCAAGUAUUCUUGCAGUCAUUUCCAAGCAUGUUGAGCUAAGCUUCAGGUUGAGGAGAACUCUUUGCCAAGAUGAAAAGAGGCAAAGGAGAGUCAUGAGCUUAAGUGGAAAAGAUUUCCUUGGAAGGGUGAAAACCAACAUUUUUCCUGUGAAGUUCUGAUAACAGGAAGAUAGCCCAGGGCUGCAAUCAGCGAUAAAAACCCUCAUGCUUGUUAAUUUAUUCUCCUUUUCUAAGAAACAGAGAUCACUGCAGAAAGGUAUGACUGAGAAGAUAUGGAUUGUUGAAGAUAAUUUAUGUUGUCUGAAGUCUUGUAGUCAUACACAGGACAAUUCAAGGGGAGACUGCUGUAAAUGGAAGGGAUGACCGUUCCCUGUGUCACUUUUACAAGGCUUAUUCCCAUCUCUUCAUCUCCUUUCCAAAGAAGAACAGUGAAUGCUGUGACCAGGAAUCAAUUGGAGAGCAAGCAGCAGCACCUGCCACCUUCCAUUGCUUCACACAUGUUUAAGAUAUUAUAUCACUAAUUUACUGUGGGUCAAGCUGAUGAUGACUACUGGUCUCUUCCUCUUAAUCUGCUACCACCAACCAUCUGUUUUCUGCAGAGAUCUCAAAUACUUUUCAAAGCUUUUAGAAAGAUGAGAUUUUAUGUCCAAAUAAUAUUGUGAUCUUAUUUUCAAUAUGUAUUGUGCCCUAUGUUUGUUAUCUGGGGUUUUUUACCAUUUUAAUUAUUUAAUUUUUUUUUUCAAUUUAGAACCACAAAGUUGUUGGCCAGCUUUUUCAAUUCUUUAACCAUGCUUUUCAAUGGAAAGGGGGUAGCUUGAAUUGUUAAACUAGGUCCUACCCUUUGCUCUUUGCUGUUUGUGUGUUUGUUUGUUUGUUUUUAAAAGAAUGGAUUUAGGCAUCACAGCAGGUUGUGUGACAUGAUUCAUUUUUCAUCAGUUUCUUGUCUGGAGACAGCAUAAACAGUUAGGUUUAUACUGGGCAGAUAUAAGAGCCUUUGUAAGUAAUGAACUUUCACUCAGUCCUCACUUCAGAGAGUUCUAAACAGAAACAGCAUCUCAUCUUGUAUUCGUAAUUCUUACUUAUGACACUACAAUAUAAUAAAUUUGUAUUUUCUGGCAAAGGAGCCAGAAAAAGAAGGAUGCAACUGGUGGCAACAGACAGAAGCUUCCUU
This is a long non-coding RNA of Cyanistes caeruleus (blue tit), 1328 nucleotides long. RefSeq lists it as uncharacterized. Lineage: Eukaryota; Metazoa; Chordata; Aves; Passeriformes; Paridae. The record is from RefSeq and is a predicted model, not a curated record.